Molecule: ribosomal RNA, 253 nt
Filed under: uncultured bacterium
Lineage: Bacteria
Description: partial 16S ribosomal RNA
Rfam family: Bacterial small subunit ribosomal RNA
Source: RNAcentral
UACGUAGGGGGCAAGCGUUGUCCGGAAUCAUUGGGCGUAAAGAGCGUGUAGGCGGCCCGAUAAGUCCGCCGUGAAAGUCAAGGGCUCAACCCUUGGAUGCCGGUGGAUACUGCAGGGCUAGAGUCCGGAAGAGGCGAGUGGAAUUCCUGGUGUAGCGGUGAAAUGCGCAGAUAUCAGGAGGAACACCGAUGGCGAAGGCAGCUCGCUGGGACGGUACUGACGCUGAGGCGCGAAAGCGUGGGGAGCGAACAGG